RNAcentral lists this long non-coding RNA (917 nucleotides) under Cricetulus griseus (Chinese hamster). RNAcentral's name for it is "lncRNA (ENSCGRG00015032805.1)". The record is from RNAcentral. Lineage: Eukaryota; Metazoa; Chordata; Mammalia; Rodentia; Cricetidae.
CUGGAGUGUCAGGAACCAGACCCUAGCAGAGCUCAGCACCCAGCUCCUUUGUCUCGCCCGCCCCCUCGUCCCCACUUCCUGCCCAGCUUCUAGCUAGCGAUCUGCGAUGCGGCACGGACUUUGUAAACACGCCGCGCCUGUGGGGUGGACGCCUGUUGUGUUUGGGUGCCGCGGAAGCGGGGUGCACGCCCCUGUCCUGUCCGUGCUGGCGGCUGUGAUCACGCCUACUGUCCAAAAACAGAUCUCCAGCAGCUGGAGAGAACGUGAGGCCGCCAUCCGAGCUUCGGGGGACUCAACUGCCAAGAGCCCUGAGCCCUGAAAGCUUCUGGAAGGAAGUUGUGGACCAGCAGACCUUCAGGAGGAGAAAGGAGAAGGAUGGCAGUGGAUCCAAAGCCUUCGGGAGAUGGCUCGGUGGAUAAGGGCAGAUGCUAUCAAGCCAGGGGACCUGAGUUCAACCCUGGGGCCCACAACUGUGGAAGGAGAGGAUAAAUUGCUCUAAGUUGUUCUCUCAUCUUCACACGAGCAUUGUGACAUGUAUGCCUUCUCCAUAAAUAAAUAGAAUAAAAACAUUUUAAAAAGAAGCAAAAAGACUUAUUUUUCUGUUAAGACCUGUUAUUUAUAUACUGCAAUAAUUGGGCUAUAUCCUGAACCAAAAUCCAAAAAUGUUUACUUUUCUUUUUCUUUUCUUUCUUUCUUUCUUUCUUUCUUUUUUUUUUUUUUUUUUUUCAAGACAGGGUUUCUCUGUGGCUUUGGAGGCUGUACUGGAACUCACUCGUUAGACCAGGCUGACCUCAAACUCACAGAGAUCUGCCUGCCUCUGCCUCCCGAGUGCUGGGAUUAAAGGUGUGUGCUACCACCACCCAGCCUAAUGUGUGCUUUUCUGAGACAGACUAUAAAGAUUACAAUUAAAUGGGGCA